UUUGACCUACGGGACGCAGCAGUGGGGGAUAUUGGGCAAUGGGCGCAAGCCUGACCCAGCAACGCCGCGUGAAGGAAGAAGGCUUUCGGGUUGUAAACUUCUUUUGUCAGGGACGAAGCAAGUGACGGUACCUGACGAAUAAGCCACGGCUAACUACGUGCCAGCAGCCGCGGUAAUACGUAGGUGGCAAGCGUUAUCCGGAUUUACUGGGUGUAAAGGGCGUGUAGGUGGGACUGCAAGUCAGAUGUGAAGACCACGGGCUCAACCUGUGGCCUGCAUUUGAGACUGUAGUCCUUGAGUACUGG
Molecule: ribosomal RNA, 305 nt
Filed under: uncultured bacterium
Lineage: Bacteria
Description: bacterial SSU rRNA
Rfam family: Bacterial small subunit ribosomal RNA
Source: RNAcentral